AAGUCGUAACAAGGUCUCCGUUGGUGAACCAGCGGAGGGAUCAUUACCAGAGUAUCUACUCGCCAACCCCUGUGAACUUACCACGUUGCUUCGGUGCGCCCACGCCAGGCGCGCCGAAGGCCCCAAACCUAUGAUUUUACACCGUGUCUCUCUGAGUGGCGAAAGCAAAAAUACGUCAAAACUUUCAACAACGGAUCUCUUGGCUCUGGCAUCGAUGAAGAACGCAGCGAAAUGCGAUAAGUAAUGUGAAUUGCAGAAUUCAGUGAAUCAUCGAAUCUUUGAACGCACAUUGCGCCCGCCAGUACUCUGGCGGGCAUGCCUGUCCGAGCGUCAUUACAACCCUCGUGCCCCCGCUUGCGGGCCGGCGCGGCGUUGGGGACCGGCCCCCGUCACGGAGGCCGCCCCCGAAAUGGAUCGGCGGCCACGCCCGCGGACCCCCUGCGUAGUAGCACACCUCGCACCGGGACCACGGCGCGGCCACGCCGGAAAUGACACCCAACUCUUUCAUGUUGACCUCGGAUCAGGUAGGAAUACCCGCUGAACUUAA
Molecule: ribosomal RNA, 547 nt
Filed under: uncultured fungus
Lineage: Eukaryota; Fungi
Description: eukaryotic LSU rRNA
Rfam family: 5.8S ribosomal RNA (bases 180-333)
Source: RNAcentral